CGAACGGGUGAGUAACACGUGGGCAACCUUUCCUAUCGCGGGGGAUAACACCGGGAAACCGAUGCUAAUACCGCAUGUCGUCACUGAUCGCAUGGUUGGUGAAGAAAGCAGCAAUGCACGAUGGGGUGGGCCCGCGGCCUAUCAGCUAGUCGGUGGGGUAACGGCCUACCGAGGCGAUGACGGGUAGCUGGUCUGAGAGGACGGCCAGCCACACGGGGACUGAGACACGGCCCCG
Molecule: ribosomal RNA, 235 nt
Filed under: uncultured bacterium
Lineage: Bacteria
Description: partial 16S ribosomal RNA
Rfam family: Bacterial small subunit ribosomal RNA
Source: RNAcentral